AUUGAACGCUGGCGGCAUGCCUUACACAUGCAAGUCGAACGGCAGCAUGAUCUAGCUUGCUAGAUUGAUGGCGAGUGGCGAACGGGUGAGUAAUACAUCGGAACGUGCACUGUAGUGGGGGAUAACUAGUCGAAAGAUUAGCUAAUACCGCAUACGACCUGAGGGUGAAAGUGGGGGACCGCAAGGCCUCAUGCUAUAGGAGCGGCCGAUGUCUGAUUAGCUAGUUGGUGAGGUAAAGGCUCACCAAGGCGACGAUCAGUAGCUGGUCUGAGAGGACGAUCAGCCACACUGGGACUGAGACACGGCCUAGACUCCUACGGGAGGCAGCAUUGGGGAAUUUUGGACAAUGGGCGAAAGCCUGAUCCAGCAAUGCCGCGUGUGUGAAGAAGGCCUUCGGGUUGUAAAGCACUUUUGUCCGGAAAGAAAUGGCUCUGGUUAAUACCUGGGGUCGAUGACGGUACCGGAAGAAUAAGGACCGGCUAACUACGUGCCAGCCGCCGCUGUAA
RNAcentral lists this ribosomal RNA (506 nucleotides) under uncultured bacterium. RNAcentral's name for it is "partial 16S ribosomal RNA". It matches the Rfam family "Bacterial small subunit ribosomal RNA", at positions 30 to 523 of the family's 1533-position model. The record is from RNAcentral.